Molecule: ribosomal RNA, 610 nt
Filed under: uncultured Gammaproteobacteria bacterium
Lineage: Bacteria; Pseudomonadati; Pseudomonadota; Gammaproteobacteria
Description: bacterial SSU rRNA
Rfam family: Bacterial small subunit ribosomal RNA
Source: RNAcentral
AACGGUAACAGGGGAGAGCUUGCUCUCCUGCUGACGAGUGGCGGACGGGUGAGUAAUGCAUAGGAAUCUGCCCAGUAGCGGGGGACAACUUGGGGAAACUCAAGCUAAUACCGCAUACGCCCUACGGGGGAAAGCGGGGGACCUUCGGGCCUCGCACUAUUGGAUGAGCCUACGUCUGAUUAGCUAGUUGGUAGGGUAACGGCCUACCAAGGCGACGAUCAGUAGCUGGUCUGAGAGGAUGAUCAGCCACACUGGGACUGAGACACGGCCCAGACUCCUACGGGAGGCAGCAGUAGGGAAUAUUGGACAAUGGGCGCAAGCCUGAUCCAGCAAUGCCGCGUGUGUGAAGAAGGCCUGCGGGUUGUAAAGCACUUUCAGUUGGGAAGAAAACGUGCAGGUUAAUACCCUGCAUGCCUGACGUAACCAACAGAAGAAGCACCGGCUAACUCCGUGCCAGCAGCCGCGGUAAUACGGAGGGUGCGAGCGUUAAUCGGAAUUACUGGGCGUAAAGCGCGCGUAGGCGGCUUGGUAAGUCGGAUGUGAAAGCCCCGGGCUUAACCUGGGAACUGCAUUCGAAACUGCCUGGCUAGAGUAUGAUAGAGGGUAGUGG